Molecule: non-coding RNA, 67 nt
Organism: Podarcis lilfordi (Lilford's wall lizard)
Lineage: Eukaryota; Metazoa; Chordata; Lepidosauria; Squamata; Lacertidae
Source: the annotation of a GenBank genome assembly
GUCUAGCUCUAUGGUACAGCAUCUGCUUUGAAUGGAGAAGGUCCAGGUUCAAUCCCCAGGAUCUCCA